UCAACUUCAUGGAUAGUACUAGUCUCGGAGCGCAAAGGAGAUUGACAUCCAGAGGUUGAGUUAUGACCCGAUUGUGGGCUUGAAGAUCACCGCUUGGCUGGCUACUAGGCCCUACGGUGAUUUUGAUGAGUCAACCUUCUCUCCAGACUUCAAGGAGGUGCCUGCGGCUUUGGUUGAGGUGGUGGCUGCAGAGCCGCAACCAACGUAGAAUUCCAUGAGAGCGCCGCUAUGGAAGGCACAGGUGGCACCACUGAGGAAACUGUAUAACGUACCACUGUAAGGGGUGCAAGGACAGUCUGGAGAGGCUGUGGUGCUGUCCGAAAGGAUGUGAGAAAGGUCUGGACUGCUUGAAUUACGGUCGUCAGGUGUUGAACUUAUUGGAAGAGCUGACUGAAUUGAUCAGUCAUGAUUGACGCCAGUUGGGCUGGUUGUACCGACGGAGGGACAAUCGAUUGAGCCAGCAGAGGGAUUUUCGGUGCCAGUGGUUGAACUUGAUUGUCAGUCUGGCUGGCCGUCUGUCAGGAAGCGGCGGUAUUGAAAAGUUAGGAAGAUAUUUAUCUUUGAGCUAUGAAUGCGAAUAUGGCCUUCCUCUAUCUAUUGCUGCUUAAAUCGGUCGAGGUUGGAAGAUGGAUGCCUAAUAUUCAUGCAGGGAUGUAGGCACUGAAGUGAUCUGCAAGACAAGUUCCAAAUCGGAGGUUGUGGCCCAGACGAAGACCCUCCGACGCUCAAGUUAGAAAAGCUAAGAACAAAAGAGUAGCAACAGAUUCUCUGAGAGAGAUUUUAUUGGACUUAUCUGGGUUCUCGAGGCUCUGAUUAUUUAUAUAGAAGGAUGUUGGACAGCUGGAUUGUUAGAUGUGAGAUUGCACGAUCUCGAGAUUGUCGGACCAUUGGACAUAUCAAACAGGACGAGAUAAUUCAGCCCUUAAUCACUCUCGCGAGAUCAAAAGAGAUGGUUACGCC
This 960-nucleotide long non-coding RNA is filed under the name Elaeis guineensis (African oil palm). RNAcentral's name for it is "long non-coding RNA (EGUI_LNC030044)". Lineage: Eukaryota; Viridiplantae; Streptophyta; Magnoliopsida; Arecales; Arecaceae. The record is from RNAcentral.